UCGAGAAUCAUUCACAAUGGGCGAAAGCCUGAUGGUGCGACGCCGCGUGGAGGAUGAAGGCCCUCGGGUUGUAAACUCCUGUCAUCAGGGAGUAAGUCGGUUGGCGUUAAUAGCGCCGGCUGUUGUUAGUACCUGAAGAGGAAGAGACGGCUAACUCUGUGCCAGCAGCCGCGGUAAUACAGAGGUCUCAAGCGUUGUUCGGAUUUACUGGGCGUAAAGCGUGCGUAGGCGGCGAGGUAAGUCAGAUGUGAAAGCUCGGGGCUCAACCCCGAAAAUGCAUCCGAUACUGCCUUGCUAGAGUGAUGGAGGGGAGUCUGGAAUUCACGGUGUAGCAGUGAAAUGCGUAGAUAUCGUGAGGAACACUAGUGGCGAAGGCGAGACUCUGGACAUCUACUGACGCUGAGGCACGAAGGCUAGGGUAGCGAAGCGGAUUAGAUACCCCCGUAGUCC
Molecule: ribosomal RNA, 450 nt
Filed under: uncultured prokaryote
Description: bacterial SSU rRNA
Rfam family: Bacterial small subunit ribosomal RNA
Source: RNAcentral